Molecule: long non-coding RNA, 655 nt
Organism: Neopsephotus bourkii (Bourke's parrot)
Lineage: Eukaryota; Metazoa; Chordata; Aves; Psittaciformes; Psittacidae
Exons: 2
Source: RefSeq, a predicted model, not a curated record
UAGGGCGCAUGAAGGGACGGGCUCAUGGCGCUACUCGAGCGCUCAGACCCUGCGUAUCUCGGACCACCGCCGUAGGGAGCGGGAUUCCUCUGUAACAGAACCGGUGAAAUACAGGAGAUGGCUGCGGUGGAUGAACCUGCGCACAGUUGGUUUGUAGCCUAUUAGCAGGUGUUCUCAGCAAAUCUACAGAUAUGUAAAAAAAGAAGGGGGAAGAGGGGCCCAAGCAAAACCAUACCUGCUUAUUGGUUUUGAGUUUUUCAGGAAACUGAUUUGUGUCACAUAGGAAGCGCUGUUAGGGGAAAAAGAAAUACUUUGAAACCAGCUAUUUUUCCAACAUACUUCUAAGCAUCUCGUGAGGAAUUCUGUGGAGAUAGAGCAGGUAAUUCACAUGACAUGACUGACACAAUAAAUACUUAUAGUAAUCCCCUCAAAAUUCUCAGUUCCACUGCCAACACUUUUGUCAUGCCCGUCCUACCUCCUGGAUUCUGGUAUCAGCCCUUCCAUGCAUAUGCAUGCACUGUUCUAUGUAUGGCAGCUCACUGACAGUGAAGAGCACUCUGUAAAUUCACCAUACAAGUUUAAAAUCGUAGUAUUUUUCACAUUAUAACUGCAUUCAGCACCCUAACAUUAAAAAAACAAACAAACAAAAAAACAA